GAGGGUUUUUUUUGGCCACAAAAUAUUUGUAAACUUGGCCACAAAUGGGGGGAUUUCUUGUAGUGAUUAUUUUUGCUAUAAAUAGCAUUGAUACAAUCAACCCUAACAAACCCUAGCCGCCGAAUCCAGUUACCAUCUCACCCUCUCUGUGAAAACAUCGUCUUCACCCUUUCUUCUUCCUCUCGAACCUUAAGCUUCAUUCUUUCUUCUUCUUCUCAAAUCUUAGGCUUCACAAAAUAAAUUAAAAACACAACAUUUUGACGACUACUAUGAGAAUUCCUAUUUUGACUGAAAAUGUUCUCUCACCACAACAAUGAGACAACUGAAAGGCGAUGCAAUUACUUGUGGUAUUUUAAAGAAAGACAAGAGAGAGAACCAAAAGGGUGAAUGUUCAAUUGUUGUCAUUCUAGUUCGAUAAAAACCUAAAAUUUAAAUUAAUCAGACCCAGGUCUGGUCUGGCAACCUAUUUUGUUUCGUUAUUAAACCCAUUCAUUGUGGAUUGUGUACUCUUUCGUACCACCAUCGUGUACUUAAACCGAACUGGUA
Molecule: long non-coding RNA, 546 nt
Filed under: Cicer arietinum (chickpea)
Lineage: Eukaryota; Viridiplantae; Streptophyta; Magnoliopsida; Fabales; Fabaceae
Description: long non-coding RNA (CARI_LNC003751)
Source: RNAcentral